RNAcentral lists this ribosomal RNA (819 nucleotides) under marine sediment metagenome. RNAcentral's name for it is "bacterial SSU rRNA". It matches the Rfam family "Bacterial small subunit ribosomal RNA", at positions 8 to 822 of the family's 1533-position model. The record is from RNAcentral.
AGAGUUUGAUCCUGGCUCAGGAUGAACGCUAGCGGCAGGCCUAACACAUGCAAGUCGAGGGGUAACAUGAGUACUUGUACUUGGUGACGACCGGCGCACGGGUGCGUAACGCGUAUGCAACCUACCUUUUACUGGGGGAUAGCCCGAGGAAAUUCGGAUUAAUACCCCAUAGUAUCAUAAAGUCGCAUGUUUAAUGAUUAAAGAUUCGUGGUAAAAGAUGGGCAUGCGUAUCAUUAGAUUAGUUGGUGAGGUAACGGCUCACCAAGACUACGAUGGAUAGGGGUCCUGAGAGGGUGAUCCCCCACACUGGUACUGAGACACGGACCAGACUCCUACGGGAGGCAGCAGUGAGGAAUAUUGGACAAUGGGCGAGAGCCUGAUCCAGCCAUGCCGCGUGCAGGAAGACGGCCCUAUGGGUUGUAAACUGCUUUUAUACAGGGAAGAAACCGUCCAUGCGUGGAUAACUGACGGUACCUGUAAGAAUAAGCACCGGCUAACUCCGUGCCAGCAGCCGCGGUAAUACGGAGGGUGCAAGCGUUAUCCGGAAUCAUUGGGUUUAAAGGGUCCGUAGGCGGGUAAUUAAGUCAGAGGUGAAAUCCUACAGCUCAACUGUAGAACUGCCUUUGAUACUGGUUAUCUUGAGUUUUAGUGAAGUAGAUGGAAUGUGUAGUGUAGCGGUGAAAUGCAUAGAUAUUACACAGAAUACCGAUUGCGAAGGCAGUCUACUAAUAAUAUACUGACGCUGAUGGACGAAAGCGUGGGGAGCGAACAGGAUUAGAUACCCUGGUAGUCCACGCCGUAAACGAUGGAUACUAGGCU